CAGGUGAUUGCGCCCAUUGACUCCAUUUUCUCUCUCUAUUUGGAGUGUAGCAGUGGGUGAUACAUUUGCCUGCUGUCUGAGCUUAGUUCUCAAAGCUGGGAGCGGAGUUCACUUUGCCUCUGGAGCAGGACGUAACCCGGUCUCACACGAGGCACUGAAUGUCUACCACGGACUCGUCCGGUUUAGGUUUUUUAGCAGUGUAUCUGGAGGAUAGAAAUCUUCCAGUUUUUUAGCAGCUUUGAGGAGUAAGCAGUUUCCCCCCAGCGUGAUUAAAAACAUCAGAAGAAUGCUGCAUCAUAAAGCGAAGGAUGGAGGCUAUCUCCAGGACUGGAUUCUGAUCGGAUUCACGGCUUUUCCUAGAGCCAUAGGAAGGAGUUAAGAGAAAGCAAGCGCUUGCUGGUAUUCUGUUCCUUUGUCUCCUGCUCUGUGCUGCCAGAGCCAGUGCUGCUGCAAAGGAGAACAUGCUAUUGAUGGACA
RNAcentral lists this long non-coding RNA (477 nucleotides) under Gallus gallus (chicken). Lineage: Eukaryota; Metazoa; Chordata; Aves; Galliformes; Phasianidae. The record is from RNAcentral.